GACGAACGCUGGCGGCGUGCUUAACACAUGCAAGUCGAACGGAAAGGCCCUGCUUUUGCGGGGUGCUCGAGUGGCGAACGGGGGAGUAAAACGUGAGUAACCUGUCCCUGACUUUGGGAUAACUCCAGGAAAAUGGGGCUAAUACCGGAUAGGAGCUACUGAUGCAUGGUGGGGGUUGGAAAGAUUCGGCGGUGGGGGAUGGACUAGCGGGUUAUCAGCUUGUUGGUGGGGUAGUGGCUUACAAAGGGUUUGACGGGUAGCAGGCCUGGGAGGGUGACCGGCCACAUGGGUACUGAGGGACGGCGCAGACGGCAACGUGAGGCAUCAGUGGGGAAUAUUACACAGUGGGCGGGAGCGUGAUGCGACCGCCCCGCGUGCGGGAAGACGGCUUUCUAGGUAUAAACCGAUGUCGCCUAUAACGAAGCGUGAGUGACGGUAAUGGGUAAAGAAGCACCGGCUAACUACGUG
This 468-nucleotide ribosomal RNA is filed under the name uncultured bacterium. RNAcentral's name for it is "partial 16S ribosomal RNA". It matches the Rfam family "Bacterial small subunit ribosomal RNA", at positions 28 to 507 of the family's 1533-position model. The record is from RNAcentral.